CAUGAAGUUACGAUUAGAAAAGUAAUUGCUUAACUCACAUAAAGAGAGCCCCGCUGGUGAGAAGGGGAUGUGAGUGGCAGUGAACACACAUCUAUGAACUGGUUAGCUGAACCAAGUAGGCUAUCCCGCUAGUGAGCGUUACCACGGCUACUGUAACUGUUCUCCAAUUUGGACGACUAGUUACGAGCAGCGUAAGGUCGUUUUUGUAAGAAAACGAUGAACGUGAGGUGGAACCGCGAAAGAUCGUCCUCAGA
RNAcentral lists this non-coding RNA (254 nucleotides) under Lentilactobacillus buchneri. RNAcentral's name for it is "Lactobacillus buchneri T-box sequence". It matches the Rfam family "T-box leader". Rfam says of the family: Uncharged tRNA acts as the effector for transcription antitermination of genes in the T-box leader family. T-boxes are found upstream of many aminoacyl-tRNA synthetase genes and some amino acid biosynthetic genes usually in Gram-positive bacteria. The record is from RNAcentral. Lineage: Bacteria; Bacillati; Bacillota; Bacilli; Lactobacillales; Lactobacillaceae.